UAUAGGUAACCGUCAUUAUCUUCCCUAUAAAGCUUAAACACAUGCAAAGUCGAAACGGACAAAUUAUCUAUAGCCUCGGUUAUAAGUAAUUGUUAGUGGCAGACGGGUGAGUAAUGCGUAGGAAUCUACCUAGUAGUAUGGAAUAGCCAUUAGAAAUGAUGGGUAAUACUGUAUAAUCCCUGCGGGGGAAAGAUUUAUCGCUAUUAGAUGAGCCUACGUUAGAUUAGCUAGUUGGUAAGGUAAUGGCUUACCAAGGCUAUGAUCUAUAGCUGGUCUGAGAGGACGAUCAGCCACACUGGAACUGAGAUACGGUCCAGACUCCUACGGGAGGCAGCAGUGGGGAAUAUUGGACAAUGGGCGAAAGCUUGAUCCAGCUAUGCCGCGUGAGUGAAGUAUAGGUACCGUCAUUUCCACGUU
This 417-nucleotide ribosomal RNA is filed under the name Ehrlichia chaffeensis. RNAcentral describes it as "bacterial SSU rRNA". The stretch from base 30 to 378 matches the Rfam family "Bacterial small subunit ribosomal RNA", at positions 44 to 395 of the family's 1533-position model. Lineage: Bacteria; Pseudomonadati; Pseudomonadota; Alphaproteobacteria; Rickettsiales; Anaplasmataceae. The record is from RNAcentral.